RNAcentral lists this ribosomal RNA (553 nucleotides) under uncultured bacterium. RNAcentral describes it as "bacterial SSU rRNA". It matches the Rfam family "Bacterial small subunit ribosomal RNA", at positions 8 to 572 of the family's 1533-position model. The record is from RNAcentral.
AGAGUUUGAUUAUGGCUCAGGAUGAACGCUGGCGGCGUGCUUAACACAUGCAAGUCGAACGGGCUCAUAUUGAAACCUAGUGAUGUAUGAGUUAGUGGCGGACGGGUGAGUAACGCGUGGAGAACCUGCCGUAUACUGGGGGAUAACACUUAGAAAUAGGUGCUAAUACCGCAUAAGCGCACAGCUUCGCAUGAAGCAGUGUGAAAAACUCCGGUGGUAUACGAUGGAUCCGCGUCUGAUUAGCUGGUUGGCGGGGUAACAGCCCACCAAGGCGACGAUCAGUAGCCGGCCUGAGAGGGUGAACGGCCACAUUGGGACUGAGACACGGCCCAAACUCCUACGGGAGGCAGCAGUGGGGAAUAUUGCACAAUGGGGGAAACCCUGAUGCAGCGACGCCGCGUGAGUGAAGAAGUAUUUCGGUAUGUAAAGCUCUAUCAGCAGGGAAGAAAAUGACGGUACCUGACUAAGAAGCCCCGGCUAACUACGUGCCAGCAGCCGCGGUAAUACGUAGGGGGCAAGCGUUAUCCGGAUUUACUGGGUGUAAAGGGAGCGU